UACGGGGGGGGCAAGCGUUGUUCGGAAUUACUGGGCGUAAAGGGCUCGUAGGUGGCCAACUAAGUCGGACGUGAAAUCCCUCGGCUUAACCGGGGAACUGCGUCUGAUACUGGAUGGCUUGAGUUCGGGAGAGGGAUGCGGAAUUCCAGGUGUAGCGGUGAAAUGCGUAGAUAUCUGGAGGAACACCGGUGGCGAAGGCGGCAUCCUGGACCGGUAUUGACACUGAGGCGCGAAAGCCAGGGGAGCAAACGGG
RNAcentral lists this ribosomal RNA (253 nucleotides) under uncultured bacterium. RNAcentral's name for it is "partial 16S ribosomal RNA". It matches the Rfam family "Bacterial small subunit ribosomal RNA", at positions 524 to 776 of the family's 1533-position model. The record is from RNAcentral.